CUACCUACUCGGUAUUUAUUCUCCAUAGAAGGGCUAAUGGCCGGAUUAAUCAAAACAUGUCUGCCAUUUUGGUUUUGUAUUUAAAUGUGUGUAUGCAUGUUUGGGUAGAAUAUUAUUUUCUUUUUUCUAUGCAUAUAUGUGUGAAUUUAAUUUUUUUUAACAAAAUGUUAUUUUUGUGUGUUCGAUAAAAUUCCAAUAAAUUAGAAGUUUUUUUUUUUUUUAAAUGAGUGAUGUCUUUAUUUUGUGAUGUCAUAGAAUUGUUUGGUUAGAAAAGUUGACAAGAUGAUGGUUGAAAACACACGUUCACACAAUUUUAUAAAUACAACAAUUUUAUUGGAAAUUGUGCAUCAUUUCCAAAGAAAAUUUCAACAAAAUUUCUCAAAAGUUUAUUCCCAACGAUUCCGACAGAGCAAAAAAAAAAACAAA
Episyrphus balteatus (marmalade hoverfly) is the source of this 426-nucleotide long non-coding RNA. RefSeq lists it as uncharacterized. NCBI's taxonomy places the organism in Eukaryota, Metazoa, Arthropoda, Insecta, Diptera, Syrphidae. The transcript is spliced from 2 exons. The record is from RefSeq and is a predicted model, not a curated record.